UAAGACGGCCAUAGGGGCUUGGUCAUAUCCGAUCCCAUUUCGAACUCGGUCAAUCAAGCAAGCCUCCGUUUCAAGCUGUACUGCAUUUUAUGCGGGAACCUCGAAAAGCUGUCUGCC
RNAcentral lists this ribosomal RNA (117 nucleotides) under Candidatus Woesearchaeota archaeon. The record is from RNAcentral. Lineage: Archaea; Nanobdellati; Candidatus Woesearchaeota.